GGUAAAAUGGCUGAGGAAUAAGCGAUAAAUUGUAAAUUUAUUAACGAAUUAGGUAUUCUUUUACCA
RNAcentral lists this transfer RNA (66 nucleotides) under Cucujoidea sp. 46 KM-2017. RNAcentral's name for it is "tRNA-Tyr". The record is from RNAcentral. Lineage: Eukaryota; Metazoa; Arthropoda; Insecta; Coleoptera.